Molecule: ribosomal RNA, 90 nt
Filed under: Flavobacteriales bacterium
Lineage: Bacteria; Pseudomonadati; Bacteroidota; Flavobacteriia; Flavobacteriales
Description: partial 16S ribosomal RNA
Rfam family: Bacterial small subunit ribosomal RNA
Source: RNAcentral
GAGCCGCCUAGGGUAAAACUAGUAACUAGGGCUAAGUCGUAACAAGGUAGCCGUACCGGAAGGUGCGGCUGGAAUACCUCCUUUCUAGAG